Molecule: ribosomal RNA, 497 nt
Filed under: uncultured bacterium
Lineage: Bacteria
Description: partial 16S ribosomal RNA
Rfam family: Bacterial small subunit ribosomal RNA
Source: RNAcentral
GAUGAACGCUGGCGGCGUGCUUAAUACAUGCAGGUCGAGCGAACAGACGAUGCGCUUGUUCCUCUCACGUUAGCCGCGGACGGGUGAGUAACACGUGUAUAACCCCCUUAUAAUUCUGGGAAAAUCUCGGGAAACCGGCGCAAAUACCGGAUAAUAUCUUGAACCGCAUGGUUCAAUAGUGAAAGACGGCUUUGCUGUCUCUUCUAGCUGGUUCUGCGCCGCAUUAGCUAGUUGGUAAGGUAACGGCUUAUCAAGGCAACGAUGCGUAGCCGACCUGAGGGAGUGAUCGGCGGCACUGGAGCUGGGACGCGGUCCAGGCGCCUACGGGAGGCAGCAGUAGGCAAUGGGCGGCAGUAGGCGGAAACCUGGCGGAGCGACGCCACGUGAGAGAUGGAGGUCUUCGGAUCGUGAUGCUCUGUUAUUAGGGAAAAACAGAUGUGUAAGUAGCUGUACACGGCUUGACGGUACCUAAUCAAGAAGCCACGGCCAACUACGUG